UUCCAUUAUUUCACUCUGCCAUGGCCAUGGGCUUAAGGACUCGAUCUUUCGAUCAUCAUAAGACUACUCCUCUCAUCUACCGAGGUUGAUAGAUCCCAUCUUGGUGUGACCUAGUUCCUACAAUGAAUAUGCUACAGCCAACAUACACCUCAGGAUUCUGAAUGGUUAGGAGACUGAGUUAUGGUGUAGUCAAACUAUAACAC
RNAcentral lists this long non-coding RNA (203 nucleotides) under Elaeis guineensis (African oil palm). Its description in RNAcentral is "long non-coding RNA (EGUI_LNC064469)". The record is from RNAcentral. Lineage: Eukaryota; Viridiplantae; Streptophyta; Magnoliopsida; Arecales; Arecaceae.